CUGGAGAACUGAGGGGGGCUGCUCCUAGUACGAGAGGACCGGAGUGGACGCAUCACUGGUGUUCGGGUUGUCAUGCCAAUGGCACUGCCCGGUAGCUAAAUGCGGAAGAGAUAAGUGCUGAAAGCAUCUAAGCACGAAACUUGCCCCGAGAUGAGUUCUCCCUGAGACUUAAAGUCUCCUGAAGGAACGUUGAAGACGACGACGUUGAUAGGCCGGGUGUGUAAGCGCAGUGAUGCGUUGAGCUAACCGGUACUAAUGAACCGUGAGGCUUAACCUUACAACGCCGAAG
RNAcentral lists this ribosomal RNA (289 nucleotides) under Salmonella enterica. RNAcentral's name for it is "partial 23S ribosomal RNA". It matches the Rfam family "Bacterial large subunit ribosomal RNA", at positions 2652 to 2925 of the family's 2925-position model. Lineage: Bacteria; Pseudomonadati; Pseudomonadota; Gammaproteobacteria; Enterobacterales; Enterobacteriaceae. The record is from RNAcentral.